This 71-nucleotide transfer RNA is filed under the name Candidatus Pacearchaeota archaeon CG1_02_32_132. Its description in RNAcentral is "tRNA-Ala". It matches the Rfam family "tRNA". Rfam says of the family: Transfer RNA (tRNA) molecules are approximately 80 nucleotides in length. Their secondary structure includes four short double-helical elements and three loops (D, anti-codon, and T loops). Lineage: Archaea; Nanobdellati. The record is from RNAcentral.
GGGCCUGUAGUAUAGUGGUAGAACAUCAGCUUCGCAAGUUGGAGAUCCGAGUUCGAUUCUCGGCAGGUCCA